CAUUCAAAAUACUCUCUCGACCACUGGAUGCUGCUCUUUGCAUCAGGCUAUGAAAAGAGAACCAUUUUCACUGUCUAAUUCUGCUGCUGUACAUUUUGGUACCUAUGUAAAGAUCCAAGAAUAAAUUUUGGCCUGGACCAUGGAAUAUUUACUCACUUUGAAAUGCAGAUGUGACCUGCCUUCUCCUUCUGCAACUAACAGGGUGACCAGAGGCAGUGGAAUGUACACCAGGACUGGAAAGAACAGAACCAGAGGGAAAGCAAACUGUCAAGAGAACAGUGUACUGAAGAGGAAAAAUUUUUUCAUACAGAAUACACCUUCUGCCUGGAAGAGGUGCAACACUUCCUCCAGUCCCUGUGUCUGCCUUGCAGAACAAAGUCAAAUUAUGGCUACAGGAAUGUUUCCCUUAUGUGGAGAGCAAUUCACAGCCAUCACAGUGCCUCCCUCCUGUCUUCUACAAGCUGUGAAUUUACCGCCUGUGGUAAACAAGCCUCCUCGAGGCUCCCCGUAGUGUGCGUGGUGUCUGGCGGCUGGAGCAGGAGACAUUUCCACAACUGCUACCCUUUCAGCUGAAUGUGGCCAUGCAGUAGGUGGCCAAAUCUGUUUGGCUUUCACCGAGAUCUGUGAAUUCCCUGCAUCCAACCAACUUGUCAAAUUAAAACCUUGCCUGCUCUGUGCUGAAGAACAGACGUGCGAUGGAAGCUUCUUGCACUCUAGCCCUUUGUCACCAGCACGCUGAGCUCCCAACAUCUGCUCGCUGGACUCGGCUUUUGCACCUUGUUCAUUUAUAAUGCAGCAAACCUCAGCUUCCACAGCACAGGACUUAAUGUGCCCCUGGCUUAAAAAAAAGAAAUUCAGAAAAAGGAACAUCCAGAGGGGAGGAGAAGAGAAAUUGAGGCUCUAAUAUAUACUUUCCUCACCGAUUUGGGAAUAAACAUAUUUUUAAGUGAGAGGUUUGUUGGAUU
Molecule: long non-coding RNA, 965 nt
Filed under: Parus major (Great Tit)
Lineage: Eukaryota; Metazoa; Chordata; Aves; Passeriformes; Paridae
Description: lncRNA (ENSPMJG00000014317.1)
Source: RNAcentral